GACGAACGCUGGCGGCGUGCCUAAUACAUGCAAGUAGAACGCUGAAGAGAGGAGCUUGCUCUUCUUGGAUGAGUUGCGAACGGGUGAGUAACGCGUAGGUAACCUGCCUGGUAGCGGGGGAUAACUAUUGGAAACGAUAGCUAAUACCGCAUAAAAUGGAUUAUCGCAUGAUAAUCCAUUGAAAGGUGCAAAUGCAUCACUACCAGAUGGACCUGCGUUGUAUUAGCUAGUUGGUGGGGUAACGGCUCACCAAGGCGACGAUACAUAGCCGACCUGAGAGGGUGAUCGGCCACACGGGGACUGAGACACGGCCCAGACUCCUACGGGAGGCAGCAGUAGGGAAUCUUUGGCAAUGGACGGAAGUCUGACCGAGCAACGCCGCGUGGUGGAAGAAGGUUGUCGGAUCGUAAAGCUCGGUUGUAAGAGAAGAACGAGUGUGAGAGUGGAAAGUUCACACUGUGACGGUAUCUUACCAGAAAGGGACGGCUAACUACGUG
This 497-nucleotide ribosomal RNA is filed under the name uncultured bacterium. Its description in RNAcentral is "partial 16S ribosomal RNA". It matches the Rfam family "Bacterial small subunit ribosomal RNA", at positions 28 to 507 of the family's 1533-position model. The record is from RNAcentral.